Small nuclear RNA from Pipistrellus kuhlii (Kuhl's pipistrelle), 107 nucleotides. NCBI's taxonomy places the organism in Eukaryota, Metazoa, Chordata, Mammalia, Chiroptera, Vespertilionidae. The record is from RefSeq and is a predicted model, not a curated record.
GUGCUCGCUUUGGCAGCACGUAUACUAAAACUGGAAUGAUACAGAGAAGAUUAGCAUGGCCCCAGUGCAAGGAUGACAUGCAAAUUCGUGAAGCGUUCCAUAUUUUU